Molecule: ribosomal RNA, 481 nt
Filed under: uncultured bacterium
Lineage: Bacteria
Description: partial 16S ribosomal RNA
Rfam family: Bacterial small subunit ribosomal RNA
Source: RNAcentral
GAUGAACGCUGGCGGCGUGCUUAACACAUGCAAGUCGAACGAAGCACUUUAUUUGAUUUCCUUCGGGACUGAUUAUUUUGUGACUAAGUGGCGGACGGGUGAGUAACGCGUGGGUAACCUGCCUUGUACAGGGGGAUAACAGUUGGAAACGGCUGCUAAUACCGCAUAAGCGCACAGCAUCGCAUGAUGCAGUGUGAAAAACUCCGGUGGUAUAAGAUGGACCCGCGUUGGAUUAGCUAGUUGGUGAGGUAACGGCCCACCAAGGCGACGAUCCAUAGCCGACCUGAGAGGGUGACCGGCCACAUUGGGACUGAGACACGGCCCAAACUCCUACGGGAGGCGGCAGUGGGGAAUAUUGCACAAUGGGCGAAAGCCUGAUGCAGCGACGCCGCGUGAGCGAAGAAGUAUUUCGGUAUGUAAAGCUCUAUCAGCAGGGAAGAUAAUGACGGUACCUGACUAAGAAGCACCGGCUAAAUACGUG